This is a non-coding RNA of Trichobilharzia regenti, 49 nucleotides long. NCBI's taxonomy places the organism in Eukaryota, Metazoa, Platyhelminthes, Trematoda, Strigeidida, Schistosomatidae. The record is from Rfam.
AUCCAGAUGACGAGUCCCAAAUAGGACACGCGAAAUGCGCAUCCUGGAU